CUUCAUCGCUAAUGUUCCGAUUGUUUGGCAUGCCAAUAUGAACGUCAGCAUUCCCUACCUUCAAAUUAAUAAGAGACUCAAAGUUUGGCCUAGCUUUAGUGAUACAAAGCUCUCAGCAGAGUGGAGGAUAUGUGCUUUGAUUUAAGAUCGACCCAAUGGUAUACGCUUCAAGAUGAAGUUAAAGAGAUCAACUCACUCCAUCUUUGGAGUGGACUAUGAGAUGGAGAAAAAGCCUCAGCCACUGGAGGAGCUGACGGUGGACCAACUCCCUGAUGAUGUGGAAUUUGAGCCCGAUGAGCAGACUGAUGCUUUCACCGUGAGUGUGCUUAGACUGUCAUCCCUCCUCUGGGAAUCCGCUAUUUGUUUUCACACUCUGAAAAUAGCAGGUUGCUAAGUCAUGUUACACAACAUACCGCAAACAUGGCUUUAUGUUGCCUAGUACCUAUCGUGUUGAUACAGACUGAGGUGUACUUUGUCAAAAGGUU
This is a non-coding RNA of Salmo salar (Atlantic salmon), 485 nucleotides long. Lineage: Eukaryota; Metazoa; Chordata; Actinopteri; Salmoniformes; Salmonidae. The record is from RefSeq and is a predicted model, not a curated record.